AUUCCAGCUCCAAUAGCGUAUAUUAAUGUUGUUGCAGUUAAAAAGCUCGUAGUUGGAUUUCUGGGUUCUUCGCUAGCUUUGGUCCGCAAGGGCUUCAGUGGGCUGUUUGAAUCCAUCCUCAGGGGGACCCAUGCUGGUAUUCAUUUAUCGGUGUGGGAACGCCUGUCGUUUACUGUGAACAAAUUAGAGUGUUCAAAGCAAGGUGUACUUGAAUACAUUAGCAUGGAAUAAUAAGAUAGGACUUUGGUGGUUCUUUUUGAUAUUUUGUUGGUUUGCACGCCAAAGUAAUGAUUAAUAGGAGCAGUUGGGGGUAUUCGUAUUCAAUUGUCAGAGGUGAAAUUCUUGGAUUUAUAGAAGACGAACUACUGCGAAAGCAUUUACCAAGGAUGUUUUCAUCG
RNAcentral lists this ribosomal RNA (398 nucleotides) under Apedinella sp. Its description in RNAcentral is "partial small subunit ribosomal RNA". It matches the Rfam family "Eukaryotic small subunit ribosomal RNA", at positions 582 to 975 of the family's 1831-position model. Lineage: Eukaryota; Dictyochophyceae; Pedinellales. The record is from RNAcentral.